GGGACUGGAGUCGUAGUCGUCGUCGUCGUUGGUUAUUAGCUGAGUGAUAAUUUCCAGAGCGUUCAGUUGUCUCGAACACCAACAGGUGUUAAAAACGUGUUUGAAAACGUACAGCGGUUUGCGAAAGACUAAGCGGUAAAUACUUAUACCAGAAGAAAUAAAUAGAUAUCUACAAAUAUACUCUGCUCAGCUCAAAAAACGAACUACUUAAACACAGAUAAAGUGAAGAUUUUGUUUAACCAAAUUGGGACUCAUUUGGAGUUUUGUGUAUUUUCUAAUUUUUUAGUGACGGAAAAAAGAAAAUAUAAUUUACAGCACUCCUAUAUUUGUGGAUUACAAAUUCAAAUAAAUAAAAGAGGAUAAAAAUACUAAACGCAAGAGCAGCAACAGCAGAAACAUUUCAAGGUGAGUUACGAUUCUUAGAAAUAUCAAGAAUUAAUUGAACAUAAGUAUACCUACAUAUACUAUAUUUUGGUGAUAUAAUUGAGUUAAAACUCGACGAACGAGUACCUACCUACGUGCAUUUUUCAGU
Molecule: long non-coding RNA, 532 nt
Organism: Rhagoletis zephyria (snowberry fruit fly)
Lineage: Eukaryota; Metazoa; Arthropoda; Insecta; Diptera; Tephritidae
Source: RefSeq, a predicted model, not a curated record